Molecule: transfer RNA, 52 nt
Filed under: Psathyrostachys juncea
Lineage: Eukaryota; Viridiplantae; Streptophyta; Magnoliopsida; Poales; Poaceae
Also listed under: 1 other name
Description: partial tRNA-Thr
Rfam family: tRNA
About the family: Transfer RNA (tRNA) molecules are approximately 80 nucleotides in length. Their secondary structure includes four short double-helical elements and three loops (D, anti-codon, and T loops). Further hydrogen bonds mediate the characteristic L-shaped molecular structure. tRNAs have two regions of fundamental functional importance: the anti-codon, which is responsible for specific mRNA codon recognition, and the 3' end, to which the tRNAs corresponding amino acid is attached (by aminoacyl-tRNA synthetases). tRNAs cope with the degeneracy of the genetic code in two manners: having more than one tRNA (with a specific anti-codon) for a particular amino acid; and 'wobble' base-pairing, i.e. permitting non-standard base-pairing at the 3rd anti-codon position.
Source: RNAcentral
GAGCAUCGCAUUUGUAAUGCGAGGGUCAUCGGUUCAAAUCCGAUAGUCGGCU